AUGAGGCUGGUGGCAAGAGUAACUGUGUUUCUGACCUUUGGAACUAUAAUUGAUGCUAAGACCACCCAGCCCACCUCCAUGGAUUGCGCUGAAGGAAGAGCUGCAAACCUGCCUUGUAAUCACUCUACCAUCAGUGGAAAUGAGUAUGUGUAUUGGUAUCGACAGAUUCACUCCCAGGGGCCACAGUAUAUCAUUCAUGGUCUAAAAAACAAUGAAACCAAUGAAAUGGCCUCUCUGAUCAUCACAGAAGACAGAAAGUCCAGCACCUUGAUCCUGCCCCACGCUACGCUGAGAGACACUGCUGUGUACUAUUGCAUCGUCAGAGUCG
Homo sapiens (human) is the source of this 328-nucleotide non-coding RNA. NCBI's taxonomy places the organism in Eukaryota, Metazoa, Chordata, Mammalia, Primates, Hominidae. The record is from the annotation of a RefSeq genome assembly.